AACGAACGCUGGCGGCAUGCCUAACACAUGCAAGUCGAACGGGCUCUUCGGAGCUAGUGGCGCACGGGUGCGUAACGCGUGGGAACCUGCCCUUAGGUUCGGAAUAACUCCUCGAAAGGGGUGCUAAUACCGGAUAAUGUCUUCGGACCAAAGAUUUAUCGCCUUUGGAUGGGCCCGCGUAGGAUUAGGUAGUUGGUGGGGUAAAGGCCUACCAAGCCGACGAUCCUUAGCUGGUCUUAGAGGAUGAUCAGCCACACUGGGACUGAGACACGGCCCAGACUCCUACGGGAGGCAGCAGUGGGGAAUAUUGGACAAUGGGCGCAAGCCUGAUCCAGCAAUGCCGCGUGAGUGAUGAAGGCCUUAGGGUUGUAAAGCUCUUUUACCUGGGAUGAUAAUGACAGUACCGGGAGAAUAAGCCCCGGCUAACUCCGUGCCAGCAGCCGCAGUAA
Molecule: ribosomal RNA, 449 nt
Filed under: uncultured bacterium
Lineage: Bacteria
Description: partial 16S ribosomal RNA
Rfam family: Bacterial small subunit ribosomal RNA
Source: RNAcentral